Long non-coding RNA from Sinocyclocheilus grahami, 2188 nucleotides. NCBI's taxonomy places the organism in Eukaryota, Metazoa, Chordata, Actinopteri, Cypriniformes, Cyprinidae. The record is from Ensembl.
AUGCCCAGAGCAGCUGAUGGAUUUUACUGUAUCUCUUCUUUCAUCAGGGCUGGAAUGAUAGGCUGGAUUGUGCAGGGACUGGGAAAAGUGGUUCCACAGCCAGAUGAGAAAUACAAGGGUCACACAGAGCCAGAGGAGGUCACUGAGCUUGCAGUUCCAGUGGUUAAAGUGGAUCCUCCAGUGCAAGAGGUCAAAGGCGUUCGUGAUGCUGAGCCGCUGCCUCAUAUUCCUGUGGUGGAGGUUGUGUCUGAUGAGGACCCAGAUGCUUCUAAUGUGCCCUUCUCUCCCAGAGUAAUAGAAUGGAUUAAGCAUGGUUUUGAGAAGGUAGUUCCACAUUCUCCUGUCCAUCUUCAUCCUCCCGCUGCUACAGAGGCACCCGCCCAGAAGGCUGCUUCUGCUCCUGUGACUCCCUGCAAACAAGAGCCAGCACCUGCAGCUCCUGAGCAACCUAAAGUAGCUGAGGAUUCCAAAGGCACAAAUAUGGUUGGCUGGAUUGUACAGGGGUUCGGACGCAUCAUACCACAACCAGUACUGAAACCAAAAGAGGACAGCUCUGAUGUCGUUCAAAACGUCUGCAUCCUGCAGGACCCGUGUGAUAUGGUGCUGGAGGAGGUGGGCUCAGACUGGGAGGCCCAGCAGAGGGAGCAGGGCUCGGGGCAGGACGUACAGGCUGAGGAGCAGGUGCCACAGGAGGGCUCAUCCCUGCUGCAGGUGCUGCCCAAUAUCCUGCCGCACAUGCUGGCCAUGCAGGAGCAGGAGGACGCAGAGACCCAGACUGAGCGCUGGACGCCUCUCAUUGAGAGCAUCAAGAAGGAAGCAGAGGAGAAUGCCAUAGCAAACAUAGAGGAGAGGUGAGAACCAAUGGUUUGGAUCCCAGUGACCUUGUGGUGGAUUUAACUAUGUGAGGCCUGAAAUAUGAAAUAAUAUUUAGAAAAAUCUCAAUGAUGUCAUUUGAAAUAGAACAGUUUAUUAAAUCUUUAGACAUAAUCUAAUUUUUAAAAAAAAAUAAAAAAUUCAUAUUUGAUACUUGGCUUUUAUGGCUCAUGUAGUGUGAUAUAGGAGAAUGUAAAGCUCAUAAGAGGAAAAAACACCUAAAUUUUAUUCUCAAAUUGAGCAAAAAAUAUGCCGUUUGGUUCAGUUGCUGAAAUUUAUAAGGCAAAUUACAAAAUGUGCAAAUUUUGCAAUUGGGGUCUAAAUAUGUUGCUUUUCAAUACCUAAUACAGACAUACAAUGUAUUAUUAGAAUUAAUGAUUAAAAAAAAAAAAAAAAAACAGCUGACAAUUGCCCAAAACCCCUCUAAAACCAUCCAAAACCUAAACAGACCAGCCUAAUCUGCUUGGACAUGCUUGGAGUCCAGCAAACCAAUUUGGGCUCCAGUGGGAUCAAUGCUAUAAUGCACAAUUUCUCCCAUGCACUGGAAUUGAAUCUACAUGCUUCAGAUUCUGAGAAUACCACGUCAAUUGUGAUGCAUUGAUACAAAAAUAUUCAGUAGAAAAGGAUAACUUUAAAAAGAAAUAUCAGUUUCUCAGCCUAAUCUCUAUGACCUACGAAGCAUGAUUUUUUUUCCUAUUGUCGAUGCAGUCUGCAUCCUGCAGGACCCGUGUGAUAUGGUGCUGGAGGAGGUGGGCUCAGACUGGGAGGCCCAGCAGAGGGAGCAGGGCUCGGGGCAGGACGUACAGGCUGAGGAGCAGGUGCCACAGGAGGGCUCAUCCCUGCUGCAGGUGCUGCCCAAUAUCCUGCCGCACAUGCUGGCCAUGCAGGAGCAGGAGGACGCAGAGACCCAGACUGAGCGCUGGACGCCUCUCAUUGAGAGCAUCAAGAAGGAAGCAGAGGAGAAUGCCAUAGCAAACAUAGAGGAGAGGUGAGAACCAAUGGUUUGGAUCCCAGUGACCUUGUGGUGGAUUUAACUAUGUGAGACCUGAAAUAUGAAAUAAUAUUUAGAAAAAUCUCAAUGAUGUCAUUUGAAAUAGAACAGUUUAUUAAAUCUUUAGACAUAAUCUAAUUAAAAAAAUUAAAAAAAAAUCAUAUUUGAUACUUGGCUUUUAUGGCUCAUGUAGUGUGAUAUAGGAGAAUGUAAAGCUCAUAAGAGGAAAAAACACCUAAAUUUUAUUCUCAAAUUGAGCAAAAAAUAUGCCGUUUGGUUCAGUUGCUGAAAUUUAUAAGGCAAAAAGUCAAAUGAAAUUCUGAA